Molecule: non-coding RNA, 559 nt
Filed under: Pan troglodytes (chimpanzee)
Lineage: Eukaryota; Metazoa; Chordata; Mammalia; Primates; Hominidae
Source: RNAcentral
GAAUUCUCGAUGCCAGGCUGCCCAAGGCCACAGUGAGCAUCAGAUAAGGGAGAACUAUUCCUUUGUUCUGAAAAGACUUCAUGACUCAGGGCUGAGCUCAAUCUAAAUGACAUGCAGCGUUAAUUUCAUUUUCUACUUACUAUGUAGUCUAGGGUUCCUCCUGUUUCUCUGCCAUCUAGAGAUCAAUUCAUUUUUAUCAAUAUUUGGGAAAAUCAGUGACAUAAAUCAGCUCCAGCAUCAAACUUCAGCUGCUACAGAGAAGGCCAGGUGUAUGGAGCAAACAAAGCCUGCAGCCUGGGAGAUUAGGAACCGCUCCUAACAAUGGACUUAAUAACAUCACAUUCAUCACCUGAUUGGAUUCUUCCAACAUGAAGCUCACAGAAGUUGAGAAAACACACCUUGAGAAGGGAAGGGAGCCAAGGUCACAUAGCAAGCAAGAAGCGCUGCCAGGCCUCUGACCCUGGGCUCUACCUUCAAAGGUCUAAGAUUAAGGUGCCCACAAGAAGCCCCUGCCAGUGUGUGGGGGAGUAUCCAGACCUCACCUGUUGUCCAGGAUGGG